This is a long non-coding RNA of Dalotia coriaria, 233 nucleotides long. RefSeq lists it as uncharacterized. The record is from RefSeq and is a predicted model, not a curated record. NCBI's taxonomy places the organism in Eukaryota, Metazoa, Arthropoda, Insecta, Coleoptera, Staphylinidae. The transcript has 3 exons.
CAUGAAGUUAUUGGUGUUUGUCGCUUUGUUGGGUUAUGCCCUCGCCUCUGAAUUAGAGCACAAUUUUGAUGCAAUCAAUAAAGGAGGUCGUAGUGGCAAUCAGCGUUCCACCUUACCAGGACCACCAAUUCUAGCUGAUCCAAGGGAAAAUGAAACUUCAUACUGGGUUGAUAUGGCACAAAGCACUUUAGCUUCAAAACUCGGAAAGCGUCUGAAUAAAAAUAUGGCUAAAA